CCUACGGGCGGGCAGCAGUGAGGAAUAUUGGUCAAUGGGCGCUAGCCUGAACCAGCCAAGUAGCGUGAAGGAUGACUGCCCUAUGGGGUGUAAACUUCUUUUAUAUGGGAAUAAAGUGCAGUAUGUAUACUGCUUUGCAUGUACCUUAUGAAUAAGGAUCGGCUAACUCCGUGCCAGCAGCCGCGGUAAUACGGAGGAUCCGAGCGUUAGCCGGAUUUAUUGGGUUUAAAGGGAGCGUAGGCGGGUUGUUAAGUCAGUGGUGAAAGUUUGCGGCUCAACCGUAAAAUUGCAGUUGAUACUGGCAUCCUUGAGUACAGUAGAGGUAGGCGGAAUUCGUGGUGUAGCGGUGAAAUGCUUAGAUAUCACGAAGAACUCCGAUUGCGAAGGCAGCCUGCUGGACUGUAACUGACGCUGAUGCUCGAAAGUGUGGGUAUCAAACAGGAUUAGAUACCCUAGUAGUC
This 461-nucleotide ribosomal RNA is filed under the name uncultured bacterium. RNAcentral's name for it is "partial 16S ribosomal RNA". It matches the Rfam family "Bacterial small subunit ribosomal RNA", at positions 338 to 795 of the family's 1533-position model. The record is from RNAcentral.